This 423-nucleotide ribosomal RNA is filed under the name uncultured bacterium. RNAcentral describes it as "bacterial SSU rRNA". It matches the Rfam family "Bacterial small subunit ribosomal RNA", at positions 917 to 1344 of the family's 1533-position model. The record is from RNAcentral.
GGGCCCGCACAAGCGGUGGAGCAUGUGGUUUAAUUCGAUGCAACGCGAAGAACCUUACCAGGACUUGACAUACUACAAAUUUUCUUGAGAAAGAAAAGUGCCUUCGGGAAUGUAGAUACAGGUGGUGCAUGGCUGUCGUCAGCUCGUGUCGUGAGAUGUUGGGUUAAGUCCCGCAACGAGCGCAACCCUUAUUUUUAGUUACUAAUUCGUUAGGCUCUCUAGAAAGACUGCCGGUGACAAACCGGAGGAAGGUGAGGAUGACGUCAAGUCAGCAUGCCCCUUAUGUCCUGGGCUACACACGUGCUACAAUGGUUAAGACAAAGAGUCGCGAGCUUGCGAAAGUCAGCUAAUCUCAUAAACUUAGCCUAAGUUCAGAUUGUAGGCUGCAACUCGCCUGCAUGAAGUUGGAAUCGCUAGUAAUCG